RNAcentral lists this ribosomal RNA (1124 nucleotides) under Cerion tridentatum costellata. RNAcentral's name for it is "16S ribosomal RNA". The record is from RNAcentral. Lineage: Eukaryota; Metazoa; Mollusca; Gastropoda; Stylommatophora; Cerionidae.
AAAGAAUAGUUUUAUCAGUUAUUUAGUUUUCAUUUUGAUUAAACUAAGGUUAGUGUUGUAAUAAUAUUAAGGUUAGCUUAUACCUUUUGCAUAAUGGGGUAAUUAUAAUUAUAAGAAGAGUUCUAUUUCACGAUGGGGGAGGAGCUAACUAAUCCGUAACACAAUGCUAAUUUUACCGGGGAGUGCUUUUAUAUUUGAUGAAUAGAUGGCGGAAUUAAAUCUGACAGACAUUACGAAAUCUUGUGGCAUUAAGUUUCUAAAAGUUUAGUUAGGGGUGAUAGGCCUUUCAAACACCCUGAUAUCUUGAUAGUGAACAAAUGUAUUUAGUACUUAUAGAAAAUCUGCUAGACAGCCCUAAAGUGCUUAGGCUUUAUGGCUAAACUCUGUAGUUUUAGUCAAAUAGUGAUAAAGCUUAGUCGCUAUAUUGUUCUCGACAAUAAUUAAUCCUAUUUAUAGCUCAGAGCUAGUUUUCACUUGUUCUUCUAAAUGAAUAGUGUGAAUUAAUAAUGUUACCAUAAGUAAGUUUAGGUUUAUCGUAAAUCUAAGUGAUUCUAAUGAACUCGGCAAACUAUUUAUCUCUCAACUGUUUAUCAAAAACAUAGCCUCUUGUAGAUUAUUUUUAUAGGAGGUCCCCCCUGCUCAAUGAUUAACACUCAUAAUUAAAUAGCCGCAGUACCCUGACUGUGCUAAGGUAGCAUAAUCACUUGGCUUUUAAUUGAAGUCUGGAAUGAACGGGGACGAUGGGGGAUAGCUCUAUCGGGAUCAUUUAACUUAAUUUGCUGAGUAGGUGAAAAUUCCUACAAGUUGAAAUAAAGGACGAGAAGACCCUAAGAACUUUUACGUAAGAGUUAGUGUUGUAUUAAUCUAUGUCAUAGACUUAGUCUUAAAAUACCCAUAACGUUAAAGUUUUUGCUGGGGCGGCAACUUUUCAUUAUAACAAAAGCUACAAAACAAUCUGACAUGUCUAGUUAAUAUUCAGGUAGGACAAGUUACCUUAGGGAUAACAGCAUUAUUCAUUCUUGAGAUUGUGACCUCGAUGUUGGACUAGGUUUCCCUAUCAUCAGAAGUGAUAGGGUAGUGUUCUGUUCGAACAUUUUUUAUACCUACAUGAUCUGAGUUCAGAC